This 506-nucleotide ribosomal RNA is filed under the name uncultured bacterium. RNAcentral's name for it is "bacterial SSU rRNA". It matches the Rfam family "Bacterial small subunit ribosomal RNA", at positions 28 to 527 of the family's 1533-position model. The record is from RNAcentral.
GACGAACGCUGGCGGCGUGGAUUAGGCAUGCAAGUCGAACGGUAUCAUCCUUUCGGGGGUGAGAGAGUGGCGAACUGGUGAGUAACACGUAGGUUAUCUACCCUCAAGACGGGGACAACCCAGGGAAACUUGGGCUAAUACCGGAUGUGAGCAACUUUUAGUUGUUUGAAAGGUGGCGUAAGCUGUCGCUUGGGGAUGAGCCUGCGUCCUAUUAGUUAGUUGGUGAGGUAACGGCUCACCUAGGCAAUGAUAGGUAGGCGGCCUUAACGGGUGGUCGCCCACACUGGGAUUGAGAUACGGCCCAGACUCCUACGGGAGGCAGCAGUCGAGAAUAGUCUACAAUGGUCGGAAGACUGAUAGUGCGACGCCGCGUGAACGAUGAAUCCCUUCGGGGUGUAAAGUUCUUUUAUAUGUGAGCAGUGCUUCUUAUAUUAACAGUAUGGGGAGAGAGAUAUUAGCAUAUGAAUAAGCAACGGCUAACUCCGUGCCAGCAGCCGCGGUAAUUG